Molecule: small nuclear RNA, 105 nt
Filed under: Notamacropus eugenii (tammar wallaby)
Lineage: Eukaryota; Metazoa; Chordata; Mammalia; Diprotodontia; Macropodidae
Source: RNAcentral
UUGUUUACUUAAGGAGCAUAUAAUAUUAAAACUGGAAUGACACAGAGUUUAGCAUGACCCUUGCGCAGGCAUGACAUGCAGGUUCAUAAAGCAUGUCAUGAUUCU